This 420-nucleotide ribosomal RNA is filed under the name uncultured bacterium. RNAcentral describes it as "bacterial SSU rRNA". It matches the Rfam family "Bacterial small subunit ribosomal RNA", at positions 356 to 773 of the family's 1533-position model. The record is from RNAcentral.
AAGGAAUAUUGGUCAAUGGACGCAAGUCUGAACCAGCCAUGCCGCGUGCAGGAAGACGGCCCUACGGGUUGUAAACUGCUUUUGCAGGGGAAUAAACCUUCGUAUGUAUACGAAGCUGAAUGUACUCUGAGAAUAAGGAUCGGCUAACUCCGUGCCAGCAGCCGCGGUAAUACGGAGGAUCCAAGCGUUAUCCGGAUUUAUUGGGUUUAAAGGGUGCGUAGGUGGUUUAUUAAGUCAGGGGUGAAAGACGGCAGCUUAACUGUCGCAGUGCCUUUGAUACUGAUGAACUUGAAUGAACUAGAGGUAGGCGGAAUGUGACAAGUAGCGGUGAAAUGCAUAGAUAUGUCACAGAACACCAAUUGCGAAGGCAGCUUACUAUGGUUUAAUUGACACUGAGGCACGAAAGCGUGGGGAUCAAAC